This is an RNA transcript of Polistes dominula (European paper wasp), 2397 nucleotides long. It is a transcript of the gene named nuclear protein localization 4, with no coding region annotated. NCBI's taxonomy places the organism in Eukaryota, Metazoa, Arthropoda, Insecta, Hymenoptera, Vespidae. The record is from RefSeq and is a predicted model, not a curated record.
UUUGUGUUUGCCCAGGCAAGUAGAACAACGGAUUGAACAGCUGAUGUUUUACUCAACACCGGCGAAAUGUCAAAAUCAAAGCAAAUCACACUGCGAGUGCAAUCAUCAGAAGGAACUAAGCGAGUAGAUGCUUGUUUAUCAGAUUCUGUCUUUACACUUUUUGAAAAAGUGUUUACUGCUUUUAAUUUGAAUAGUCUUACCUUUGGAUUGUAUAAGCAAAGAAAUCGUCAAGAUGAAAUUAUAAGUACUCGGAGUAAAACAUUGUUAGAAGCAGGUCUUUCCCAUGGUGAUAUGCUCUAUCUUGUGCCAUUUAAUGGUGCACAGCUUUGGAAUACACCAUCUGCCAGUAAUAACUCACAUAUUUCUUCUGCAGGAUUGACCGAUGGAGGAAGCAAUACAAAUCGUAUUGUUCAAAAUUCAAAUGUGAAGGGUGCGCUUCGUAGCCUGCCAAAUGUAGUUGAAGAUGAAGUAGAUGAACAAUUGUGGAAGUUGGAUGGGAAAAUACAAAGAAAACGUGAUGAAAAACUUUGCCGUCAUGGUGUAAAGGGAUGUUGCGUACACUGCUCUCCUUUGGAACCCUUUGAUGAAGUUUAUAUGAAAGAACAAAAUAUUAAACAUUUAUCCUUUCAUUCGUUUCUUAGAAAACUCACUGCCGGAGUUGAUAGGGGCAAAUUUUUACAAUUAGACGACAUAUGCUGCCGAGUAAAGACUGGUUGCAAGGAUCAUCCUCCAUGGCCUAGGGGUAUUUGUAGCAAGUGUCAACCUAAUUCUAUUACUUUGAAUCGUCAAACUUAUCGUCAUGUAGACAAUGUCAUGUUUGAGAAUGCUAGUUUAGUUGAACGUUUUUUGAAUUAUUGGAGAAGUACUGGUCAUCAACGUAUUGGUUAUUUGUAUGGAAGAUAUGAAAUACAUACAGAUGUACCAUUAGGGAUUAGAGCAGUUGUUGCGGCUAUAUAUGAACCUCCGCAAGAAAGUACAAAGGAUUCUAUACAACUUUUGCCAGAUGAAAAAGAGUCAUUAGUUAAUGAAUUAGCUCGAUCUCUCAACUUAAAAAAAAUAGGAUGGAUUUUCACGGAUCUCAUAGCCGAAGAUGUGAAGAAAGGAACGGUGAAACAUGUCCGAAAUAUAGAGAGCCAUUUCUUAACGGCGCAAGAGUGUAUUAUGGCAGGGUACUUCCAAAAUCAAUUUCUUAAUCCUUGUCGUUUGUCACCCAGUGGUUAUUAUGGUUCUAAAUUCGUAACUGUUUGUGUCACAGGUGAUGAUAAAAAUCAAGUUCACAUGGAAGGAUAUCAAGUGUCAAAUCAAUGUUCUGCACUGGUACGCGAUAACUGUUUGGUGCCAACGAAAGAUGCACCGGAACUGGGCUAUGUAAUCGAAUCAACCGAUAAGCAAUAUGUUCCAGAUGUCUUCUACAAGGAAAAAGAUAGCUACGGCAAUGAAGUAUCAAGGCUAGCAAGACCUCUACCCGUGGAAUAUUUAUUAGUGGAUAUACCUGCAUCCACUCCACUUACUCCCCAAUUUACUUUUUAUGCAAACGAUGAUAUUACUCCGUUCCUUAUUGAAAACAGAUUAAUUGAUGGACAAGUUCAAGAGUUUCGUUCAUUGUGCACUUAUAUGCAGCAGUUUAAUUCGGACCAAUUUUUAGAAGCUAUUUCAGAUUUCCACUUGCUUUUGUUUAUUACAACAAUGGAUAUGCUACCCAUGAAGGAUCACAUGGGACCAUUGCUCGAAGCUGUGCGUACUAAAAAUAAACAAACAGCAAUUGAAUGGUCACGUUCGGAACAUUGGGCCACGGUGGAACAAUUAAUAUCAGCUAGUGCAGCAUCCACGUCACAAGUUCCGCAAGCACCGUUUAAUAGCGGCAUGAUUAGAGCAUCGUCUUCCCUGCCAGCAACUAGUUCUAGCGUAGCCGUUGGCACGGAAGCUGCUGCUGCUAAUUCAUCUGCCAAUCAAGAAUUAUGGACCUGUCCUCAUUGCACUUUUAUCAACGGUGCAGAAUUUUCAAUAUGCGAAAUGUGCAGUCUACCAAGGUACUCCUAAAUGAAGUCUCCAUAUUUUACAAAACAUUGUGUGCUCUUUUAAGGGUGUUCCCUCUUUAAAAAUCAUUAAUUUACUUCCGCAGGAUUUGACUCAUCCUGUAUCCUUGCGGAUAUUAUGAUUGUUUUCUACGCAUCUUUGGCCUUAUUUAUGAGUGAAUAAAACAGACAAAAUAAACAUAAGAAAAAAAUAUCAAGCAAAAAUACAUAUUUCCGACUAACACUAAUGCACUACCCUGCUUUUUUGAUCUAAUGAUUAUUCGUUUACAGCCAUUUUACAUACUUGACUGUAAUGAAUCCCUGCAAGUUACUUCCGAGGUGACCAAGAUGUUUUUUCGUAGCUGGAUUCUAGAUUAUUAAA